UGGGGAAUAUUGGACAAUGGGCGCAAGCCUGAUCCAGCAAUGCCGCGUGUGUGAAGAAGGCCUUCGGGUUGUAAAGCACUUUUAUCAGGAACGAAAAGCGUGGGGUUAAUACCUUUACGUGCUGACGGUACCUGAGGAAUAAGCACCGGCUAACUUCGUGCCAGCAGCCGCGGUAAUACGAAGGGUGCAAGCGUUAAUCGGAAUUACUGGGCGUAAAGCGUGCGUAGAUGGUUUGUUAAGUCGGAUGUGAAAGCCCCGGGCUCAACCUGGGAACUGCAUCCGAUACUGGCAGACUAGAGUGUGGUAGAGGAUGGCGGAAUUCCCGGUGUAGCGGUGAAAUGCGUAGAGAUCGGGAGGAACAUCCGUGGCGAAGGCGGCCAUCUGGACCAACACUGACGUUGAGGCACGAAAGCGUGGGGAGCAAACAGGAUUAGAUACCCAAGUAGUCCCUGAGCGGGCUGGCAAGGCGCAU
Molecule: ribosomal RNA, 472 nt
Filed under: uncultured bacterium
Lineage: Bacteria
Description: bacterial SSU rRNA
Rfam family: Bacterial small subunit ribosomal RNA
Source: RNAcentral